CUACGGGUGGCACCAGUGAGGAAUAUUGCACAAUGGAGGAAACUCUGAUGCAGCAACGCCGCGUGGAGGAUGACGCAUUUCGGUGUGUAAACUCCUUUUAUAUGUCAAGAAAAUGACGGUAGCAUAUGAAUAAGCACCGGCUAACUCCGUGCCAGCAGCCGCGGUAAUACGGAGGGUGCAAGCGUUACUCGGAAUCACUGGGCGUAAAGGACGCGUAGGCGGGAUAUCAAGUCAGGUGUGAAAUCCUACAGCUUAACUGUAGAACUGCACUUGAAACUUCUAAUCUAGAGUAUGGGAGGGGGAGAUGGAAUUAGUGGUGUAGGGGUAAAAUCCGUAGAUAUCACUGGGAAUACCUAAAGCGAAGGCGAUCUCCUGGAACAUUACUGACGCUAAGGCGUGAAAGCGUGGGGAGCAAACAGGAUUAGAUACCCCCGUAGUC
Molecule: ribosomal RNA, 439 nt
Filed under: uncultured bacterium
Lineage: Bacteria
Description: partial 16S ribosomal RNA
Rfam family: Bacterial small subunit ribosomal RNA
Source: RNAcentral